UACGUAGGGGGCAAGCGUUGUCCGGAAUCAUUGGGCGUAAAGAGCGUGUAGGCGGCCAGAUAAGUCCGCUGUGAAAUCUCGAGGCUCAACUUCGAGCUGUCGGUGGAAACUGUCUGGCUAGAGUCCGGAAGAGGAGAAUGGAAUUCCUGGUGUAGCGGUGAAAUGCGCAGAUAUCAGGAAGAACACCCGUGGCGAAGGCGGCUCUCUGGGACGGUACUGACGCUGUGGCACGAAGGCUAGGGGAGCAAACGGG
This 253-nucleotide ribosomal RNA is filed under the name uncultured bacterium. RNAcentral describes it as "partial 16S ribosomal RNA". It matches the Rfam family "Bacterial small subunit ribosomal RNA", at positions 524 to 776 of the family's 1533-position model. The record is from RNAcentral.